GUCGAGGGGCAUCAGUUUGGUUUGCUUGCAACCAAAGCUGGCGACCGGCGCACGGGUGAGUAACACGUAUCCAACCUGCCUCAUACUCGGGGAUAGCCUUUCGAAAGAAAGAUUAAUAUCCGAUAGCAUAUAUUUCCCGCAUGGGUUUUAUAUUAAAGAAAUUCGGUAUGAGAUGGGGAUGCGUUCCAUUAGUUUGUUGGCGGGGUAACGGCCCACCAAGACUACGAUGGAUAGGGGUUCUGAGAGGAAGGUCCCCCACAUUGGAACUGAGACACGGUCCAAACUCCUACGGGAGGCAGCAGUGAGGAAUAUUGGUCAAUGGACGCGAGUCUGAACCAGCCAAGUAGCGUGAAGGAUGACUGCCCUAUGGGUUGUAAACUUCUUUUAUAUGGGAAUAAAGUGGUCCACGUGUGGAUUUUUGUAUGUACCAUAUGAAUAAGGAUCGGCUAACUCCGUGCCAGCAGCCGCGGUAAUACGGAGGAUCCGAGCGUUAUCCGGAUUUAUUGGGUUUAAAGGGAGCGUAGGCGGAUUGUUAAGUCAGUUGUGAAAGUUUGCGGCUCAACCGUAAAAUUGCAGUUGAUACUGGCAGUCUUGAGUGCAGUAGAGGUGGGCGGAAUUCGUGGUGUAGCGGUGAAAUGCUUAGAUAUCACGAAGAACUCCGAUUGCGAAGGCAGCUCACUGGAGUGUAACUGACGCUGAUGCUCGAAAGUGUGGGUAUCAAACAGGAUUAGAUACCCUGGUAGUCCACACAGUAAACGAUGAAUACUCGCUGUUUGCGAUAUACAGUAAGCGGCCAAGCGAAAGCAUUAAGUAUUCCACCUGGGGAGUACGCCGGCA
Molecule: ribosomal RNA, 837 nt
Filed under: uncultured bacterium
Lineage: Bacteria
Description: bacterial SSU rRNA
Rfam family: Bacterial small subunit ribosomal RNA
Source: RNAcentral